RNAcentral lists this ribosomal RNA (242 nucleotides) under Salmonella enterica. RNAcentral's name for it is "partial 23S ribosomal RNA". It matches the Rfam family "Bacterial large subunit ribosomal RNA", at positions 1 to 234 of the family's 2925-position model. RNAcentral also lists the same sequence under 1 other name. The record is from RNAcentral. Lineage: Bacteria; Pseudomonadati; Pseudomonadota; Gammaproteobacteria; Enterobacterales; Enterobacteriaceae.
GGGUUGUGAGGUUAAGCGACUAAGCGUACACGGUGGAUGCCCUGGCAGUCAGAGGCGAUGAAGGACGUGCUAAUCUGCGAUAAGCGCCGGUAAGGUGAUAUGAACCGUUAUAACCGGCGAUUUCCGAAUGGGGAAACCCAGUGUGACUCGUCACACUAUCAUUAACUGAAUCCAUAGGUUAAUGAGGCGAACCGGGGGAACUGAAACAUCUAAGUACCCCGAGGAAAAGAAAUCAACCGAGA